Molecule: vault RNA, 103 nt
Filed under: Myripristis murdjan (pinecone soldierfish)
Lineage: Eukaryota; Metazoa; Chordata; Actinopteri; Holocentriformes; Holocentridae
Description: Vault RNA (ENSMMDG00005013603.1)
Rfam family: Vault RNA
About the family: This family of RNAs are found as part of the enigmatic vault ribonucleoprotein complex. The complex consists of a major vault protein (MVP), two minor vault proteins (VPARP and TEP1), and several small untranslated RNA molecules.
Source: Rfam by way of RNAcentral
GCGCUGGCGUAGCUCAGUGGUUACUUCAAUGCACAAAUCUCUGUUUGAUUUCGCAAAUCUCUCCCGACCAGGGAUCAAACCACGGGCGCUGUCCAGUGUUUUC